Molecule: long non-coding RNA, 974 nt
Organism: Aegilops tauschii subsp. strangulata
Lineage: Eukaryota; Viridiplantae; Streptophyta; Magnoliopsida; Poales; Poaceae
Source: RefSeq, a predicted model, not a curated record
CAACCGGCACCCGUAAACCCGACGAAAGAAACAAAAAAAAAAAGCGGCGGCGUCGGAAGGGGAUCGAGCGAGCAGCGAAGGCGAGGCGAGGAACCCUAAAUCCCAAUCGGAACCCUCAGGGGAUCCGGCGGCGGCGGAAGUGCUAGCUAGGAUUGGAGAGGCUCGGCGGGGAUCAGGCCAUGGCCACGGCGCUUCGCCACGCGGCGAGGAGGUUCGGAACCAGAGCGGCGGCGGAGGCGGAGGCGGAGGCUAUCAUUGAGCGUAGUCCGCUGUACACUAGCACACGGAUCGUCGAUUCCACCACAGGCCGUGUACGUGCUGCAAAAUCAACAUCCUCCCCCGCCUCCCCUCCCAAGCUUUGCUAAUACUACUAAUAUAGACCUCACGCCCAAUCAGAGGAAAGAUGCCAUCUUCCGCUUGGCUCAAAUCCAUGCCCAGAAAGAGGACCUCUACAACACAAUCGCUGCCUGGCAAGCUGACUACACUGCUAAGGGCAAUGUAGUGAACCGGAAAAACAACCUUCUGCUCAAACAACUCUCUCAGCAUGUCAAACCUAGACCCGAUGACCCCCGCUGGCGCUCAAGUCAGCGGGCAGUAUACUUUAAUGAUUUCCUCAAAUUCACGGGGGCGGUUUUGAUCGGCAAAAUGGCAGGAGAUGCCUUUAGUCAUUACAAGGCAAAGCAAGAUCAUGAUGGCCACAAAGGAUCAAGCUAGCUUGCUGCAUACAAGUCAACUAGUUAGUACCUGGUCUUGCAGAGAACCAAAUCAUAAGGCAUAUAUCAUGUCUGCUAGCUAGCUUCUUAUCACAAUUGUUAGAAUGUUGUGAAUGUGCCUACCGCACUUGUCGUCUCUGUUUAAUUAUGUUGCCGCCCUCUAUCAGUGUGUGUCAUAUCUGUUUUGCUGAUGAGUCAGUCUCGUCGAAUUAAAUAACUAGCUAUUGGUCGCUGUAUAUAUGUGUUUCCUCUUUCUUGGAA